Molecule: long non-coding RNA, 680 nt
Filed under: Bos taurus (domestic cattle)
Lineage: Eukaryota; Metazoa; Chordata; Mammalia; Artiodactyla; Bovidae
Description: long non-coding RNA NONBTAT006874
Source: RNAcentral
CUUUGGCCAUGCCACUGGUUGUAAAUUCAUUUGAUCCUUGAGCCCUGUGAGGUAAGCUUAAGACCUGAGCUUGGUCUUGUUAGGCUAAGGUUUGGUAGUGAGUAGAAUGGUUAGAGGUGAACUGAAGACAGAAAUGGGCAGGAGGUGAUUGGGUUGAGAGGACUCUAGUGGUAACAUGCCUGGAGCAGAACUGUGAGACUUGCCCAGUGCCUACUGACACCAGGGAGGACGCGGGGCUGUGGAGUUCAGCUGGAGAUACACUAAAGUGGACUAGAUGCAGAGGCGGUGUUGUGAAUGGACCUUUGGGGCCUUCCAGCUAGUGAGGCCCUAUCAAUGCAGUGCCCCCUUCUCACAGGCCCUAAGAGACUCAGCCUUGUUUUCCUGGGCCUGUGCUGUGACCACUCAGUAUUCCAGUGGUUUAAAGUUCAGGCCUCAGGGCAGUAAUCUCAAACCUGUUCUAUCAUGUAUAUUUUUUGAACCUGUGUCCCAAGAUACGUGUUUUUAUUAAGUAUAAUAAUGCCUCAUUAUAUAUUGACUAAUAUAUAUCUCUUAAAACAGUGACCAAAAAAUUGAGCAUAUGGUGAGAUAGAUAAACUACACAAACUAACUUAUUUUUCAAAAAAUUUGGAUUACCUCUUGCACCCCACUUUUUUAGUCUCUGAUCCCAAGGGUCAUAUGUU